GUAUAAUGACAUGUUAAAAGUCCUUAUUAAAGUAUGCAAGAAAGGCUCUGCAGGUGGACAGAGCAUGAUUUUAAAAAUUCAAUAUUGCUGUCAUUCUUUCAUAUUCUUUUCAAAACAACAAAAGCCAUUAGGUCACAUCAAAACUGAUUUUUAAAACCAAAGGUCUGAACCUGCAAAGCCUUUCUCAGCUGGGUAGGUUCUCGGCAGCACCCUCAGUGACUUCGGGGGAUUUGGUCUCAGCAGGAAAGUCUGCUCAGGGAACUUGGGCCCAUUUCUGUUUAAGCCUUCUUGUGGAACAUUUCUCCAACAGCACCAGAGAAAACCAGAACAUUUAUCACUAGGACUCAGGCCAGGUGUAAUACAGAGUGCUGCUAAAUCAGGCCUUGUCAGUGCAAGUGAAUGGCCCAUACCCACAGAGUCCCUGCUGAUUUCAGGAGUACAGAUGCGGAAUACUGAGUGUGAGACGCUGCUGGUGAGCUGUUCUUGAUGGUUUGGUGUUGCUCCUAAAGAAAACCCUAUUGCAAACGGCAGCCAACUGCAGAUGUGCUAGGAUUAGGCUGGGCAGCACAAACACUGUGCCUGCCCAACUCCAGUGUACAAAGCAUUGCUGUUCUGCUGCGCUGUGCAGGGCUUCGAGUACACGGUAUUAAUUCACUGCCAAACAAAAUAAAUUUGACAGCAGAGAAAGCUCUCUCCA
RNAcentral lists this long non-coding RNA (697 nucleotides) under Anas platyrhynchos platyrhynchos (common mallard). Its description in RNAcentral is "lncRNA (ENSAPLG00000027962.1)". The record is from RNAcentral. Lineage: Eukaryota; Metazoa; Chordata; Aves; Anseriformes; Anatidae.